This 253-nucleotide ribosomal RNA is filed under the name uncultured bacterium. RNAcentral describes it as "partial 16S ribosomal RNA". It matches the Rfam family "Bacterial small subunit ribosomal RNA", at positions 524 to 776 of the family's 1533-position model. The record is from RNAcentral.
UACGUAGGGGGCGAGCGUUGUCCGGAAUCAUUGGGCGUAAAGCGCGUGUAGGCGGCCCGGUAAGUCCGCUGUGAAAGUCCAGGGCUCAACCCUGGGAUGCCGGUGGAUACUGUCGGGCUCGAGUCCGGAAGAGGCGAGUGGAAUUCCUGGUGUAGCGGUGAAAUGCGCAGAUAUCAGGAGGAACACCGGUGGCGAAGGCGGCGACCUGGUCCUAUACUGACACUCAUACACGAAAGCGUGGGGAUCAAACAGG